Etheostoma cragini (Arkansas darter) is the source of this 122-nucleotide long non-coding RNA. RefSeq lists it as uncharacterized. Lineage: Eukaryota; Metazoa; Chordata; Actinopteri; Perciformes; Percidae. The record is from RefSeq and is a predicted model, not a curated record. The transcript has 3 exons.
UGCUGUAAAGCACUAGCUCUAUUUUAAAAGGCUUUUUAGAAGAAAAAAGGCACUUUAAAAAGAUCUAACACCCAGCAGGGUGUAUUGUCUUAGCCUCCCUUUUUAAAUACAACAUUCAAAUU